UGAGAACUAGUAAUCAAAUUGCCAUAGUCCU
Molecule: non-coding RNA, 31 nt
Filed under: Rattus norvegicus (Norway rat)
Lineage: Eukaryota; Metazoa; Chordata; Mammalia; Rodentia; Muridae
Source: RNAcentral